MicroRNA precursor from Gadus morhua (Atlantic cod), 81 nucleotides. The record is from Ensembl. NCBI's taxonomy places the organism in Eukaryota, Metazoa, Chordata, Actinopteri, Gadiformes, Gadidae.
GGCAACAAUCCCAUUCUUCUCCUUGUCGCGGUUCAGUAUACUUCACAUUGAUGUGGACGCGGAAGAACCAGGAACGUCGGA